This 99-nucleotide non-coding RNA is filed under the name Dyadobacter jiangsuensis. The record is from RNAcentral. Lineage: Bacteria; Pseudomonadati; Bacteroidota; Cytophagia; Cytophagales; Spirosomataceae.
GAGAGCCGGAUGCAUAUUGAAAAGUGCAUGUCCGGUUCGGAGAGAGGGCAAGCGAAACCGAUAGUUGAGAAACUAUUAGGCGCGCUUGCUCUACUCUAC